Long non-coding RNA from Prionailurus viverrinus (fishing cat), 4688 nucleotides. RefSeq lists it as uncharacterized. NCBI's taxonomy places the organism in Eukaryota, Metazoa, Chordata, Mammalia, Carnivora, Felidae. The record is from RefSeq and is a predicted model, not a curated record. The transcript has 2 exons.
CGGCCGGUGAGGGUACCAUUGUCAUAACAUAGCUGGGAGAGGGUGAGGCUAUAGCCAGGCAGCUGGGUUUCUGGGCGCAUGGUGCCUCAGCCUGAACAAGGACUUGCCGCCUGACCCUGGACCGACCCCCACCCUCCAACACUUUCCAGCCGUUCUUCCGAGAGGGAAAGGGAUUCUCGCUGUCUCUGGCGACUUCCAGGGGGCCUGGGGUCUGUGGGGAAGGGGAAAACUACUUGGAGAGGGUGAUAUACGCUCCAAGUGAAGCUCGGAGUGAAGUUCACCGAGUGAUAUACGCUCCAAGUGAAGUUCGGAACUUUCAUUCUCCAAGUGAAGAGACGGGGCUGUCUUCCGUGAGUUAGGCUCUCGUGGUGGCGGGGCCACCUAUACUCUGAGAGGCUGCCUGUCGCGUAGGCACGGCGUGACUGGUGACAGGCCCCCAAGGGGUGGGUGCAGGUCAGGCUGGGUGGGGCAAGCUCCCAGUGGCCAGCUGGGCAGGUUCCAGCUGAGCUGGGGCCCUCGGUGGAAUGGCCUGGCUUCAGGGCACAAGUGAGCCACCAAUGGGUGGCAUUCCACAGAUGGGCGGCAUUCUGGACCAUGAAGUUCACAGGAGUCAAAGGUCCAGGGUCGGGGGUUGGGGGGGGGGAGCCUCUGCUGCCCUGGAGGCCUGUCCAGCCUGGUCUGUAGAGAAGGACUGUAAACGAGGCUCUGAUUCUGGAAGCCCCUUUCAUCCUCCCGUAAGAAAAAAAAAAAAAAAUUGGUCACCACCCUCUUCCUUCUUGGCCACUUUCUGACCAUCCCCUCACCCCACCCCGUUUCCUCCAGCCUGCACUUCCCCACGGAGCCUGUCAGGGGGUUGAUUCGAAUCUGAAAACCAUCUGGGACACCCCAGCCAUCUUUGCCCACCGCAGGCUGUUUCUGUAGGGGGUUGGGGACCUGUGUUCCUACUUAGGCCCAACUGACGCUGUUGUCUCUUGUAGAGCUCACCUCUGAUGAAGUGGGCAGGAUGGGCACGGGGAACGCUGGACUGAGGUCCCCGUUCACACGGCAGCCCCCCCACGGCGUGCUGGGUCUCAGGGUUCACCCUCACGCCUCCUGCCAUGGACAGAGGGUCCGUGUCCGCCGGCUUUUCAUGUCCCUUGCCUCUUAUGCAAGAGAGCAGAAAUUCUCUAUUUUCUGAAAGGGGAGAGCUGCCGGAAGCUUUGUUCCUUUUGGGCCCAUUUUAGAGACAGGGUAACCAAAGCCGUGACUGCCGGCGGGAAACAACCAGAGCUCAGUUCCUGCUUCCCGUUAGAGUCUUGAAUCUUUCCAGUUGUUCUUCAAGAGGGCUUCCAGAGCCGAGCAGCUCUCCCCCCAGCUUUCCUGACACCCCCAGCCCCGGUCUCCACCCCACCUGGUCCCGGCCUGGCCUCUGAGGAAGCCUGGAGCCGACUGUCUUGUUUUCACAUGCCGCUUGAGGCCCGUGACUGCCACUCAGUUUCUCAGGAGCUCAGUCUCUCUGCAAGGUGGGCGUCCGCGCCUCCCAUGUGAAGACACGGGCCAGAUGACCCUUCUCCCGGGUCUUCCUGCGUUCCCCAGCUCUUGGGACUGCCCUCCUCCACUUAUUCCUUUCCAUUCCGGUCCACGGCCCUCCCUGGGCAGAAAGCACUUGGGUGAGAGUUGGCUCUGGGUGCAGCAAAGGCUGGUCAUUCCUGGGUGUGCCAUGGGGCCAGUGAGGCUGGCCACCGGCCAGGCCAGGCACUGGAGAAAUUGUGCUGGUGGCCGCCCUACCCGCCACAGAGCGUUCAGGGCCCCCUGGGAUGUGGGCCAGUGUCGGGUGAGGGGACCCUCCACUCCACCUCGGCUCCCCUGGGCUGGGCGGGUUGACUGCCGACUUACCUGGAGAGAGUUCAAGGACAGCAAGAAAAAUGAGGGACUUUCAGGGGCAGCUGUGUUUUCUGACUCAGUCAUAAUGCCCCUAAAAAUCCUUAUUGUUCUUGCAGUGUGCAUCGGGCAAGCAGCUGCCAAGCCACCCCUUACCCACCUGGCCGCUCCGGGACAGGAAGGGCUUCCCGGGGUCAGAUUGGGAUGUCCUCCCCCAUCCUCUUGAGAGCGAAUCAUUAAAACAAUGCUGUUGGGCCGAUGCAUUGAUUUACAUAUAUUUUUCCUUUUUUUUUUUUUUUUUUGGUGGAGGAUUGGGGAGGGCUGGGCAUUGAGAUAGUCCUGCCCAGAUUGGAACUCAGAAGAAUAUAGGGUCUCCCCAGUUUGUGUGCAGUAAGGGUUCAGAGGACCCCAGCUGCAGGUGCAGGGCCCAAGGAGGGGUGUCUUAGGGGCGAGCAGCAGUGUGGGGCUUGUGGGAUGCCCACCUUUCCUGAGAAGUUAGAACUGUUUAGGGGCAGGAGGGGAGAAGGCACCUGGGCAGGAACUUGUACUGUGUUUUAUUUAUCUUGAGAGAGAGAGUACGUGUGCACCAGUUGGGGGGGGGGGGGUGCGGGCAGAGAGAGAGAGACUCCCAGGCAGGCUCUGUGCUGUCAGCUCAAAGCCUGACUCACGAACCGAACCAUGAGAUCAUGACCAGAGCCGAAAUCAAGAGGCAGACGCUUAACCGGCUGAGCCACCCAGGCGCCCCUGAGCUAUGCUUUAAAACCGAGGGAGCCUCAGCGAACUCCCUGGGAGCAUUACCUGGCCAUUUUGAAAAUACCCUCCCAGUGGAUUCAAGUCCUCCCCCCCCCCCCGCCCAACCAAUCCCUGCCUUGCCCCCGGAGCUUGCUUUUUCUUGGCUGGAUGUUCUCUAUCCCUGUUUCACCUCCGGCGGCUCCCCGCUUCUCAGCAGGUGGCCCUGUCCCCACCUUUACCAGCCCACCCCACAGGUAUUUUGGCUGAGCCGAGGCCUUGUCUUGGGUGGGUUUAGGGGUUGCAUGCUGGGGGAUGGUCAAGAAGAAAUACCAAUUUGUGACAUGUCCGGCUCAACCCAGGAAUGCCAAUUUGCAAAACUGUUACCAGAUCCCAAAGCACCAGAACCUUCCCCCCACAGCUAAGUCCUGCCCAUAGGUGGACAGGCAGCAAGCAGGACCCUCUUGUCCACCCCAGGACUCAUCAACCUCAUGCGUCAGCAAGGGAAAUGAACCCUCUAGGUAUUUCUUAGGUUUCUAGGUACAGACUUACAAGCCCUCAUCACUGGAGAAGAUGGCUGUUUGCAGGACCCUGACCACGUGAUCAUCCUUCCGGCCAGCCUUCCUCCUUCGGGCCCCUUACUCCCGGGCUCUGGUCAUCCCAGCCAUGCCUCCAUACCAGCUCUGCCAGAGACCGUUUUCAAAGGGCUGGGUCUGCUCAGGAGCGUCCGCAUUAAGAUCUGCCCAGGAGAAGGGACAACUUCAAGGAGGACACUUCCACAGAGAACCCUGGGAGAUGUCUGGCACAGAGAAGAUGCUCACUUAAUGUAGGUGCACUGCUCCAGAAGUGAGGUCUGGGUCUCAGUGUGUCGGAGGGUGCCUUCCGUCCUUAUCUCUACAAAGGUGACCUUUCCUUCCGCUUCCUCUCUGGCUGUCCUGCCCUGGCCGGACCCCAUAGGGAUCGUGGUUCUGGCUUGAGACGCUGCAUUCCUCUCUGGCCGGGCCCGCCGAGACCCAGAGCCCAGGGAGGACUCCUUCCCCUCCUCGAUGCUCGUCCUGCAAGUCCAGACGCCGUCAACUCCAAGGCGUUCCCUCUGGGCCCGGGCCAGAGUAGCUGCGGCCGAGCUCCUCCCUCCCCCCCGCCAGCCUCCUUGGGUGCAGACAGCCCAGCACAGGCAGGAAGGGCCUUCUGUUUGCCUUGGCUGGUGGGGAAGAGAUUAGUGCUCACUUUCUGUUUGGACUCUUGUAUCUAACUAACAGGCAGGCCCGUGACGUCGAAGCAAAGCACACUUGAGCCUUGAAUGAGUUUGGGCCCUGUUCCUGAGGCCCGGCCACUGCAGAGGUGUCUGGAGGUAGGAAGGGGUGAUAACACCACCCCUUGGGUAUAUGGAGAAAUGUAAUGGCCGUCUGUCAGCUGUCCCUACCCAGAGUCCACGGCCCUUACUUUGGGUAAUGCCUCCUCAGAAGACCACUUCUCCCCGACCUCGACUUUAGAGGCAAGCAUGGAUCCCCGGACACACACGGAGACUCCCCCUUGGUGGUUUUGCAGCAGCUACGGGGAAAGAGGCAUUUGCUUUUUUGUGGGAUUUGCCAGGCUGAUGGAACUGCUGGCGGCCAUCCUGUUCUCUGCUUGAGGUCAAAGCCAACAAAGAAGAAAAAGCUCAGAGAUGGAGAGAAUAUGCUGUGCAGAUAUCCAUAAGCCCCUGGAUUGAGCCAUGCCUGAAGCUAACUCUACUCCUGGAUUAACCCGAUUAUAUGAGCCAAUGCAUUUCUUCUGUGCUAAAAUUAUCCUAAGUGGGGUUUCUGUCAUAGAAAGGAGCCUAAUAAAACAGUGUUUUUCUUUGGUUUCAUUAAGAAAAAAAAAAAUCAACUCUGAGGUAUACUUUGCAUGCAAUAAAAUCUACCCAUUCGAAGUGCUCAAGUCCUAAAUUUUAUCAAAUGUGUACACCCUGGUAACUACCACUGCAGUCGAGAUGUAGAACAUUUCAAGUUCUCUUAUUCCCCUUUAUAGUCCUUUACCCUGAACAACCACUGACCUGCCUUUGUUGUAGAGAUUUUGCCUUUCUAGAACUUCAUAUAAAUAUUAUCAUUUAGUGUUUA